CCAUCUCGAGCACCUACGUGUACUACUGGUGAUUGGAAGAGCAAGUUUCCGAAACUCUCGUCCUUGUGAUCGUGCACCGGAAGAGGAUGAUAAGUUUUUUUUUGGGAAAUGCUUAGCGUGAUUGCUCCCAAUCUCCACGACUCAUCUUCCAGCGGUGCCACGUACCGCCGUCUCUGCCGCUAGCUGCUCUGACUCGUCUUCAACAACGACGCUGGUGCUCCAGCACUAAUCGACGAUGAUCUAUCACCAUAAGCCACGACGCCUCCAUCUGCAAAUGAGAGUUAUGCUCACCGUGACCUGAUCUGUUAUUUC
This 312-nucleotide long non-coding RNA is filed under the name Sorghum bicolor (sorghum). RNAcentral's name for it is "long non-coding RNA (SBIC_LNC017115)". The record is from RNAcentral. Lineage: Eukaryota; Viridiplantae; Streptophyta; Magnoliopsida; Poales; Poaceae.